Long non-coding RNA from Mauremys reevesii (Reeves's turtle), 808 nucleotides. RefSeq lists it as uncharacterized. The transcript is spliced from 5 exons. The record is from RefSeq and is a predicted model, not a curated record. Lineage: Eukaryota; Metazoa; Chordata; Testudines; Geoemydidae.
UAUGUUCUGUCAGAGCCAGUCCUUGCCCCUCAGUGUCAGUUCUCUCAAUUCCACCAGGGCUUUCCCAGCCAGGCUCCGUCACUGAUAGAGAUGAGCCUGAGCAAAAAGAUUUGGAUCCCAACCAAGACUCUGACCCCAAAGAAUGGGGGUGCUGGGUUCCAAGGUUUUGGUUCAGGCCCAUCUCUAGUUGAUACAGUGAUAACAACAGAGCAAGGUGGUGCGGGCUGUCAUCAAAGAACCUGAUCUUCCAAUAAGUCUCGCAACACGCAAGCGUCGCCAACCUACAGAGAGACAGAAGGGGAGGGAAGGCAGAGUGCUGCUGCAAAAAACCAUUAGCAAAGGUCCCAAAGCCUCUCAGAGCAGUUUGAAAAGCCUGCCUGGCAUCCACAGCUCACAGAGAAGCAGGAAGUCAGAGUGUUUAUCUUGUGCUAUUUGGUAUUAAUUGCUGUGAUCCCGACUCGGAGCAAUGGGAUGGGAAGUUCAGUUCCUGCCCAGAAUUCCAGGAUGAGCUCCGGCUUAUAUUCCAGGUCAUAAUUGAAAGAGAAUAGUCUUGCAGACCAUCUAGCAAUACGAUAUCCUGCUCUUCCCAGUCCUUUCACGGUGAGCAACGUCGUCAAAGGGCUGUGGUCUGUGCGCAACUUGAACGUGUGGCCCCACAGAUGAAUUGGAAGCAAUUUGCUCAAGAGUCACUGGUAUAAAGAAAAGGGGUGAAACUGAAAACAAUAUUUCAGAGAAGAAAAGUCAACACACGAUGAGGCUUUUCAGAAUAAAACUGGAAACUUUCUAAAUUAAAAGAGAAAAUAAAACA